Molecule: long non-coding RNA, 452 nt
Filed under: Mytilus galloprovincialis (Mediterranean mussel)
Lineage: Eukaryota; Metazoa; Mollusca; Bivalvia; Mytilida; Mytilidae
Source: RNAcentral
GAUAAAUGUAUAUGUUUUAGGUCAAGGAAUAUUUGUUUUGUAAUUUUAAGAUGCAAUUAUUAAUUAUUGUUCAUGGAACAGCCUUCUAUUGAAGUGUUUGCAGUUGCCCAAAAAUCUGCCAUCUGCAAAUAGCGAUCAUUUUGUUAAUCUAUGUUAAAAUAGCACAUCGCUAAUUGUGAAUAUCAGGGAGGAGAAUGAUUUUCCAUAAUAAAAGAAGGGGUAUUUAAAGUAAGAAAAGAAUAUAUGCGAGGUAAUUGAGGUUAAAAUAUGUUUUUUACGAAGUCAAACUUUUUUACUUUUUGUAAUCAUGUUUAAAUGCAAACAUUACUUUGCGACUAAAUCGUAGGCAACAUUGAAAUAAGUAACCUUGUUUAGAAACACUUGGUUGUCUAAAGCGGGAUGUAAACGAACUAAAUAAAAUGCGGCUGCUUCUUAUUUAGUUUAAAAUCGUG